RNAcentral lists this ribosomal RNA (432 nucleotides) under uncultured bacterium. Its description in RNAcentral is "partial 16S ribosomal RNA". It matches the Rfam family "Bacterial small subunit ribosomal RNA", at positions 29 to 506 of the family's 1533-position model. The record is from RNAcentral.
AACGAACGCUGGCGGCAUGCCUAACACAUGCAAGUCGAACGAGACCUUCGGGUCUAGUGGCGCACGGGUGCGUAACGCGUGGGAACCUGCCCUUAGGUUCGGAAUAACUCCCCGAAAGGGGUGCUAAUACCGGAUAAUGUCUUCGGACCAAAGAUUUAUCGCCUUUGGAUGGGCCCGCGUUGGAUUAGCUAGUUGGUAGGGUAAAAGCCUACCAAGGCGACGAUCCAUAGCUGGCCUGAGAGGAUGACCAGCCACACUGGGACUGAGACACGGCCCAGACUCCUACGGGAGGCAGCAGUGGGGAAUAUUGGACAAUGGGCGAAAGCCUGAUCCAGCAAUGCCGCGUGAGUGAUGAAGGCCUUAGGGUUGUAAAGCUCUUUUUCCCGGGAUGAUAAUGACAGUACCGGGAGAAUAAGCUCCGGCUAACUCCGU